This 1530-nucleotide ribosomal RNA is filed under the name Triticum aestivum (bread wheat). RNAcentral describes it as "partial small subunit ribosomal RNA". Lineage: Eukaryota; Viridiplantae; Streptophyta; Magnoliopsida; Poales; Poaceae. The record is from RNAcentral.
AUGGCGGACCUGGCGCUCGGCGCGGGGCCGGAGGAGAUUUGGCGGCGGCGCGCCAAGACCAAGAUCGUCUGCACCCUCGGCCCGGCCUCGCGGUCCGUGGAGAUGUGCGCGCGCCUCCUGCGCGCCGGCAUGUGCGUCGCCAGGUUCAACUUCUCGCACGGAUCCCACGAGUACCACCAGGAGACCCUCGACAACCUCCACAAGGCCAUGGACAUAACCGGCAUCCUCUGCGCGGUCAUGCUCGACACCAAGGGACCAGAAAUUCGCACAGGCUUUCUGAAAGACGGCAAGCCUGUAAAGCUGAAUCAGGGGCAAGAGAUUACCAUAACCACAGAUUAUACCAUCAAGGGUGAUGAGACCAUGAUUUCCAUGAGCUACAAAAAGUUGGCUGUAGAUGUGAAGCCUGGGAGCACUAUACUAUGUGCUGAUGGCACCAUCACACUCACAGCGCUUUCUUGUGAUCCUGAGAAAGGUCUAGUUCGCUGCCGAUGUGAGAACUCUGCUCUCCUAGGUGAGAGGAAGAAUGUCAAUCUUCCUGGCGUCAUUGUAGAUCUCCCAACACUUACAGAUAAGGACAAGGUGGAUAUCCUACAGUGGGGAGUGCCAAACAAGAUCGACAUGAUAGCACUCUCCUUUGUACGGAAAGGAUCAGACCUUCAGAUGGUCCGAAGUGUGCUCGGUGAGCAUGCCAAGUCAAUCAUACUUAUGUCCAAGGUUGAGAAUCAAGAAGGUGUUGCUAAUUUUGAUGACAUACUUGCAAAUUCAGACGCCUUCAUGGUUGCACGAGGAGAUUUGGGUAUGGAGAUCCCUAUUGAGAAGAUUUUCUUUGCUCAGAAGGUUAUGAUCUUCAAAUGCAAUCAACAAGGAAAGCCUGUUGUCACUGCAACCCAGAUGCUGGAGUCGAUGAUCAAGUCUCCCCGCCCUACACGGGCAGAAGCAACUGAUGUCGCCAAUGCUGUCCUAGACGGAACUGACUGUGUGAUGCUUAGCGGUGAGACUGCAGCAGGGGCAUAUCCAGAGUUAGCAGUGCAGACAAUGUCCAGCAUCUGCUUAAUGGCAGAGACCUAUGUGGAUCACGGUGCAGUCUUCAAGUUGAUUACCGCAGCAGCACCAGUUCCUAUGAGCCCACUUGAGAGUUUGGCAUCGUCAGCUGUUCGGACGGCUAAUGUCUCCAAGGCAUCGCUUAUCUUGGUCCUGACGAGGGGAGGUACGACUGCAAGGCUCGUCGCGAAGUACAGGCCAGCGAUGCCAGUAUUGAACUGCGUGGUUCCAGAGCUGAAGACCGACAAUGAUUUCGACUGGACUUGCAGCGACGAGGCUCCUGCAAGGCAGAGUCAAAUUGUUAGGGGCCUGAUCCCAAUGUUGAGUGCCGCUACUGCAAAGGCUUCUGAUACUGAGGCCACCGAGGAGGCCGUCAGUUUUGCCCUGGAUUAUGCCAAGAAGCUCGGCCUCUGCAAGUCGGGAGAUUCAGUUGUUGCGGUGCAUCGUCUCAGCGCAUCAUCCCUCGUCAGGAUCUUGACAGUGGAUUAG